GAUGAACGCUGGCGGCGUGCCUAAUACAUGCAAGUCGAGCGAACGGACGAGAAGCUUGCUUCUCUGAUGUUAGCGGCGGACGGGUGAGUAACACGUGGAUAACCUACCUAUAAGACUGGGAUAACUUAGGGAAACCGGAGCUAAUCCCGGAUAAUAUUUUGAACCGCAUGGUUCAAAAGUGAAAGACGGUCUUGCUGCCACUUAUAGAUGGAUCCGCGCUGCAUUAGCUAGUUGGUAAGGUAACGGCUUACCAAGGCAACGAUGCAUAGCCGACCUGAGAGGCUGAGCGGCCACACUGGAACUGAGACACGGUCCAGACUCCUACGGGAGGCAGCAGGAGGGAAUCGUCCGCAAUGGGCGAAAGCCUGACGGAGCAACGCCGCGUGAGUGAUGGAGGUCUUCGGAUCGUAAAACUCUGUUAUUAGGGAAGAACAUAUGUGUAAGUAACUGUGCACAGCUUGACGGUACCUAGUCAGAAAGCCACGGCUAACUACGUG
RNAcentral lists this ribosomal RNA (497 nucleotides) under uncultured bacterium. RNAcentral describes it as "partial 16S ribosomal RNA". It matches the Rfam family "Bacterial small subunit ribosomal RNA", at positions 28 to 507 of the family's 1533-position model. The record is from RNAcentral.